This 431-nucleotide ribosomal RNA is filed under the name Lytta caraganae. RNAcentral describes it as "partial large subunit ribosomal RNA". It matches the Rfam family "Archaeal large subunit ribosomal RNA", at positions 2007 to 2642 of the family's 2987-position model. Lineage: Eukaryota; Metazoa; Arthropoda; Insecta; Coleoptera; Meloidae. The record is from RNAcentral.
GCCGCAGUAUUUUGACUGUGCAAAGGUAGCAUAAUCAUUAGUUUUUUAAUUGAAAGCUGGAAUGAAGGGUCGGAUGAGAAAGGUUCUGUCUCACAAUUAUUUUAGUUGAAUUUUAUAUUUAAGUUAAAAAGCUUAAAUUUUAUAGAAAGACGAGAAGACCCUAUAGAGUUUAAUAGGUUUAUUUUACACUUAAUUUUAGGUUUAAAUUUAAUUGUUAAAUAUUCUAUUUGGUUGGGGUGACAUAAGAAUUGAAUUAACUUCUUAUUAUAAUAACAUUGAUUUAUGAAUGCUUGAUCCUAUUAUUUAGAUUAUAAGAAUAAAUUACCUUAGGGAUAACAGCGUAAUUUUUUUAGAGAGUUCUUAUCGAUAAAAAAGAUUGCGACCUCGAUGUUGGAUUAAAGUUAGGUUCUGGUGCAGAAGCUAGAAUUUUA